GGGCCCGUAACUCAUCGGUUAGAGUGCCACCCUUAUAAGGUGGAAGUAGGUGGUUCGAUUCCACCCGGGCCUACCA
This 76-nucleotide transfer RNA is filed under the name Planctomycetota bacterium. RNAcentral's name for it is "tRNA-Ile". It matches the Rfam family "tRNA". From Rfam's summary of the family: Transfer RNA (tRNA) molecules are approximately 80 nucleotides in length. Their secondary structure includes four short double-helical elements and three loops (D, anti-codon, and T loops). Further hydrogen bonds mediate the characteristic L-shaped molecular structure. tRNAs have two regions of fundamental functional importance: the anti-codon, which is responsible for specific mRNA codon recognition, and the 3' end, to which the tRNAs corresponding amino acid is attached (by aminoacyl-tRNA synthetases). tRNAs cope with the degeneracy of the genetic code in two manners: having more than one tRNA (with a specific anti-codon) for a particular amino acid; and 'wobble' base-pairing, i.e. permitting non-standard base-pairing at the 3rd anti-codon position. The record is from RNAcentral. Lineage: Bacteria; Pseudomonadati; Planctomycetota.